Molecule: unclassified non-coding RNA, 148 nt
Organism: Pongo abelii (Sumatran orangutan)
Lineage: Eukaryota; Metazoa; Chordata; Mammalia; Primates; Hominidae
Rfam family: Metazoan signal recognition particle RNA
About the family: The signal recognition particle (SRP) is a universally conserved ribonucleoprotein. It is involved in the co-translational targeting of proteins to membranes.
Source: Ensembl
GCUGGGUGUGGUGGCCCACACCUGUAGUCUUAGCUACUUGGGAGACUGAGGUGGGAGGAUCACUUGUACCCAGGAGUUCAAGGCUGCUGUGAGCUGUGAUUGAGCCACUGCACUCCAGCCUGGGUGACAGAGUGAGACCUUGUCUUUU